RNAcentral lists this long non-coding RNA (3593 nucleotides) under Sus scrofa (pig). Its description in RNAcentral is "lncRNA (ENSSSCG00030006214.1)". The record is from RNAcentral. Lineage: Eukaryota; Metazoa; Chordata; Mammalia; Artiodactyla; Suidae.
UUUUUUUAAAGUUUUAAUUACGUAUAGUUGAUUUACAAGGUUGUGAUAAUUUCUGAUCUUCAACAAAGUGGUUCAGUUAUCCACAGGCACACAUCCCUUCUCUUUCAGAUUCCUUUCCCACGUAGAUUAUCCCAGAAUACUGGUUCCCUUGUGGCACAGUAGGUUAAAGGUCUGAUAUUGUCACUGCUGUAACUCUGGUCAUUGCUGUGACUUGGGUUCAAUCCCUGGUCUAGGAACUUCCACAUGCCAUGGGAAAGGUCAAAAAAGAAGAAGAAGAAAUAGAAAGUUUAUCUUCAUAUGCACGUCAAGUACAAUUGUGUUUGCCAUUCAUUUACCUAUAAAAAAUACCCUAAAUAAAAUCAUUGUAAGGCUAGAUAAUUAUUCAAUGUUUUGAAGUGGUCAAUGUUACACUGAGUGAAUCUCACAUUAUGGCAUUUCCUCCCCCAGUUGUGUAGGUGAGCUGUUAAGGUCCUCAGCUGUCCUUUAUGCCCCACAGAUACCAUGGCUAUGAUGCUUCCUGGGGCUUGUCCCCCUGAGGCCAGAUGGCUUCCUGAGUCAGCAUCUAGAGCAGGUGUUCCAGAGACUUUAGAUUCUUGCUUCUGGUCCAGUCAAAUCUGAAUAAUUAUGCUCAGAUCCAAAAGUCCCAGCCUCCACCUGCUUCAUGGUUCAGCUCUUCCUUCAGAUCAACCCUACCUCCCUCUUUUAUAGGUGUGCUUCUCAGGGCAGGACUAGAUAAUUCUCCUGCAGGUAAACUCCAGCUCCACAUCUGCUCCCAGGGAACCUGACCCAAAGUCAUGUCACAAAUUUAACACUAUUAAUUUUAAUUUAACACUGUUAAUUGGUACGCCCUUCAUUUCUUCCAUUGAAAUCUUCCGUGUCAUCAAAGAUUUUGCUUUCUCACUACUUCCUUCCAGGAGCCACUACCACCAGCAUGGGGUCUCUUCCUUCAAAGAAAUCCUGGCUGUCUUAGGCCUCUACAGCAGCUCUGAACCACCUGGUUCCACCAAGUACAUACCCCUGUCCAUUUUCUCAGGAUCUGAUGCAACUUAAAGCAAAAACUCAUAAUAAAUAGAGGCAAAUUAAUUUAAAAAAUAAAAGGAGCCUAAAAGAUCAGGGUCUGGGAAAUAUGCAUAAGAAUCAAAAGGCCUAUAGUGGUCAGAAAGUCCAAACUGCCAGUAAUAAGAUAAAUAAGUCUGAAGGUGUAAUGCACAGCAUAGUGGCUAUAGUUAGCAAUACUCUACUGUAUAUUUGAAAAUUGUUUAGGGAAAAAUUUUUAAAAGUUCUCAACAAAAGGGAAAAAAAGGCAAGCUUGGAAAUAGCUUAAAAAUAUAUCUUCCAUCAAGGCAGAAAAGAACAACAUAGAAGCCAAGUAACUUUUAUCAUCAGAAGAAAAAAUCCAGAAAGCUAACAUCUCAGUUCCUCAAUGUGAGCAAAUAUUUCCUUUGCUUGUUUCUUUUUAUUUUAUAUAACUGGGGUAUAGCUGACUUACAGUGUUGUAUUAGUUUCAGGUGUAUAGCAAAGUGAGUCAGUUAUACAUAUAUCCAUUCUUUUUUACCAUACAGAUUGUUACAGAACAUUGAGUAGAACUCCCUGUGCUAUGCAGUAGGUCUUUGUUAGUUAUCUAUAUUAUAUAUAGUAGCAUAUAUGUGUUAAUCCCAUCCUCCUAAUUUAUCCCUUCCCUCCAUUGUUUCCCCACUGUUAACCCUAAGUUUUAUUUUGAAAUCUGUGAGGUUUUUUUUGUUUGUUUUAUAAACGAAUGCUUUUGUAUCAUUUUUAUUAGAUUCCAUAUAUAAGUGAUAUCAUGUGAUAUUUGUCUUUCUUUGUCUGACUUACUUCACUUAGUAUGUUAAUCUCUAGUUGCAUCAUUGUUGCUGCAAAUGGCAAUGUUUCAUUGUUUUUAAUGGCUGAGUAGCAAUCCCAUUGUGUAUAUGUACCACACUUUUUCAUCCAUCCAUUCCUCUGUUGAUGGACAUUUUGGUUGCUUCCACAUCUUGGCUGUUGUAAAUAGUUCUGCAACAAUCUUUGGCUUCGUUCUGACAGAAAUAUCUCACCUGAGGCUUUAAGUAGCACUGAGAAAGGGAAAGAAAAAACUAUCCUCAAGGAUAUUUGUGCAGUAAACCCUGUUUCAUUUCAUGUGGCUUUUUAUGAAAAUGUUAAGCUCUGUUCUUAAUCUCAUGAUUGCCACUUACUAUACACCCUGCUGUGGUGCUCACCAUCUCUUCAUGUUCCUCAGAUGCCAUCGUUCUUAAUUUAUGAUCAUCAUAUAUGCCAAACAGCUUCUGAUGUAUAGUAAAUGAUUUCUAGGGCUGCGUUAGUGCCUACCUAGCCAACAGGAGAAAUUCAGUGAGUGGUAGUUAUUACUGUAAUUAAUCUUAUGGUUAAUCCUAUGGAUUAAUAUAGUUGAUUUUGUUUGUUUGUUCAACCUGUCAUUUUGCAAUAAGUUGAAUGGAAAACAAUUACAGCGGUUUUCUGGGAGAAGAUCCUGAAUUAAAAACACUACACUGAUGUUAAUAAGCAAUCUAGUCAUGCAUGAACAAUAGGAAUCCAACCCUGUCCAUCUGGUCUCACUCCUGGUAUCAUUUCAGCCUGCUCUCUGUCCCACAGAGCCUGUGGCCUUCUCCCUUUCCUUGUGUUAGUUUAUCACACCACAUUUAUUUGUGCAUAGUGUGUACGAAUAAGCCACCAACAAAAUCUGCAUUUAUUCUGUGCUUCCAUUCUGUCCAUACCAGCUCAUGUGUUUGAAGGGAUCUGUUGUUGUAGUUUGAAUUCAGCAUGUGAAGCUAUUUUUAACUGAGAGUCUGAUUCUGAUGAUCAAGUCUGCCUUCAAACAGAGAACAGAGGUCCAUGACUUUCUUAAUCACCAUGCCUUGUCUGGUCUAAGUUUCCCCAUCAUCCAGUAGACACUGAGAAUGCAGACCUAAUCUGUAUUAGGUGAUUCCCAGGAGGCUGAGCUUUCUUUGGCCUGUCUUCUAACUCUAUAAGAAAUAUGGAGCCAUAUGGUAAAAAUAAGAAAUUGACUCUUGGCUUCUAUUUUUCUGGACCUCUUGGGUUGACUGACUCAGAACUGGAGUACAAGUCUUAAUGAUCCAGAGAAAAGAUAUAUAUGCAAAAAGUAAGUUUAAAAUGUAGGGUACAUUUGAGUCAAUAUCAUCUAUAUCUCACUGGAGUGAACUGGGAUCAUAAUAGGCAUGAAUGGAUAAAAGGCAAUAUUUACAUUUAUAGUUAACUUUAUUUUCUCCAGAAGUAUAUUUUUAGAUCUAGAAAUUUGGAACUCCACAGUUUGUCAUUACAUUUUGCCAUUCUGAUAGGGCAAGUCCAGAGCCAGUGAAUAUUUAUAAAUAUAUCACCAGAAGUUCCCACUCUAGCUCAGGAUGUUAUGAACCCAACUAGUAUCCAUAAGGAUUUGGGUAUGAUCCCUGGCCUUGCUCAGUGGAUUAAGGAUUUGGCAUUGCUGUGAGUCGUGGUAUAGGUUGCAGACUGGAUUAGAUCCUACAUUGAUGUGGCUGUGGUGUAGGCCAGCUCAGAUUUGACCCCUAGCCUGGGAACUUCCAUAUGCUAUGAGUGCAGCCCUAAGAAAAAAUGAAAAAAAAAAA